UCGGCUCUCUCCGUCUCUCUUCUCAACAGUUGAAGCUUCAGCUAUGAUUCAAACAGUUAAUGGCGGAUAUCAAUAAUUGAAUCGAUUACAUUCUCUUAUUCGAUUAGGGACGAUUUUCAGUUUACCAUGAUUUUCACUGAAAAAUCAGAAUUAUAGGUGGAAGGUGCAAUUGAGAUUAAGCUCAGUGAUGCGGGAAAAAAAUAAAUAAUUACAACCAUCCAGCAGGUAAGUCACAUCUUAUGUUUUAUCUGUUCUGUACUCUGUAGAAACUCCAUCAUAGAGCCUCUUAAUGCAGGUCACUCUAAUUUGGACAAGUUUCAUCAAUCAUCUGCUUUAUCAGCGAUAAAGCAAUGGAAAGAAAUAAUAUCCGCUUUUAAUUUCUUUGGUUUUAUACUGAUAACUCUCGGAAAUGGAAAAUAUCUGCUUUAUCAGAUAUUUUCUCGUCAAGUUUGAUUUUGAUAUAUCCAUUGUUUUUAAUUUCUUCUCUCACUUUUAUAAUGACUUUGUGUAAAGUUUCUCAUUUUCGGUAAGUGUUGGGUUUUAAUAAGAAAGUCAGUAACAAUGUUGUGACGCGAGGUAUCAGGGACACUAGGCUAUACUAUUGCCCUAUACACUGUAGUAAAUGCAUUUUAUGGUCAAGUUUUUGUUUUUUUCCUUAGUUUGGGAGUACAUUUCUAUGAUGUUUAGUUUAUAAUGCAAAAAGUAAUUGGUGGACGUGUAUUUUUUUUUGUUGCUAGGAGUUUAAGGAGUUGAGAUGGAUUUAAGUAAUCAAGUUGUAGUAACCCCUGGUUCCUCUCAUGUAAAGAAAAAUGCUGAGGCUUUGGCUAGAAGAGACAGGAAAUAAAGCUAGAUUAGUUAGCCAAGGCCCAAGGGAUCCCUGUAGGUGUUUUUUUAACUUAGUCUUUUUAGGCACAUGUUGUUGCAGUUGCGAAAAGGGUGGUUACUAUCUUUUUCACUGGCAAAAGGGUUUUGAUGAUGUCUCGAGAAAUCAACCUGGUAUAUAGUUUUGGAUGAAUCAGAUGUUGACGCUCUCAUCAACGAUCAACAGCGCUGAGGCUGACAGCCAAGCUUAUUUCAGUGUUUUAUUGGAUCCAUAAGUAAGCCAUUUUUAAUCUUGCUGCUUCUCAUUUGUUUGUUGCUUUACCUGAUAUAUCAAUCCCCUUCACUGCAGAUGACUCAGUGUUCGACCUUAUCUAUUUCUUUGGUACUUUUGUAGUAUAAACUAUUCUGAGAGUUCGCUAGAAUCUCAUUUAAAGUUACGCUUCUUCCAUUUUGUAAAUUGAUUUAGUCUAGAGUUUUCCCACUUUUAGUCUGUUUAUAAAGCAUAUCAGGUUGUCCAUACUAAUGCAUAGAAACUAUUUGUAUAAAUUUAACAAAAUGUUCUUUUUUCUCCUCCAUUUGUAGUUUCAAGUUUCUUGGUAUAGUACUGUAGUAGGAAAGUUGGAUGUGAAGUAGAUAAUAUUGUGGAUAUUGCUGGCAAUGGGUGGUGAUGGAUGCCUCAAGAGAGUAGUGUAUCUGGGUAACGUUGUUGGUGGUGGUCUUAACAAGUUAAACUUCAUUUUUAUUCUCCUUGGUUAAUCUACAAAAUUAUGCGUUGCAGGUUUGUGUUGUAUGCAAUAGUGAGGUCUAUGAAAGUCUUCCCUUACACUUUAUUUAAUUUCCCUGAAUACCCUGCUCUUUGUGAAAAUGUAAAAGAAAUGUAUGUGGAGUUAUGGCUUAGCUGCCAGUUUGAAAUCUUGGAUGUCACUUCGGCUGAUUAUAAGUAACUAAUAAUUUCUACAUAUACAUAGGUUUAUGUACUUUUGCAGGAUCUGGGUCAAGAGAAUCAGAAUUAUGCGGAUCCAUGCACAUUUCUACAUUAGCAGAUCAGUUUAGCAACCACACAACAACAUUUCCGUUUUGAUCUAAAUGCACACACCUUCUCCAUGUGUAUGCUCUAGGACUUGACCAAUGAAUAUUGGCACUGAAAUGGACUGUGCCCAAGCGUUCCUUGUGGAUACUUUAAAUAUGUGUCCGCAGUCCACAAAAUACCACCGAGCAUAUAUGGAAACAUUGCUGUAGCGUUUCAAUCGAGUAAAAUUGUUGAUCUCACUCUCUGCUGCAUAAGGUUUACGGAUAUCUUCCAGGAGGUAUACGAAGCUAACUGGAAGGAUAAGUUCUAAGAUAAUUCCAUAUGGUAUGAGCAUUGUCUAAUCGAUGACAUGAAGCAAAGGUGGAUAUGUGUGGACUUGCAUAAUUACGAUGGAGAUGUCCAGAGUGAUUUCCUCGCUCAAGGUACUACCCAGGAAUUGGUGCAUGUGCAUAUAAGGUGGUACAAGUGAAUUGUCGACAUAGAAGCUUAUAUGGGUGAAAUCUAUUACCAAUAACCUUAACUUUCAAAUGGCAUGGCAGUCCCUGCAAUUGGUAAUUAUAUAAUAACAUAAUAAAGGUGGAGAUUCAAAAGUACUUGCAGAAUGUACGUAAUCUUCCUACAAUCUUCAAUCAGUAUCUCAAAUUUUUCACUUUAAAAAUUAAUCUCACAUCUGAAUAUUAGCCGCCGAGAAUUUCAAAUGAUGUGCAUUUUCAAAUGUUGGUUGUGAGAGGGAAAAAUGCUUUAGCAUAUGGCACUUACAAGUAUUUUUAUAAGAAAACGGGUAAAUCAUGAAGAAGCAGCCAAGCAGGUGAACAUUCCUGUGUGCCUAAUUUGGUAUAUUGAUUCCCCUACACUCUCUUGAACUCUUAGCUGCAUCAUCGUUUUAAUAAGGUUAAACACAACUUUUUUAUAUUGUAUUGGAGUGUGUUGUGCUAUGACUGAUAGGUAAUUUUAAGCUAUCUUGGUGAUAGUUCAACUUUUGCGUUAUUUUUUUACUGCAGGGCUACUCUUUACUAAAUAACAUUCAUAUUUUUAGUAUAUCGGAGUAGGUGUACACCGAUUAUGAAGUGUAAGUAAUGGCUCUUGGAAUUAUGAAGGAGGAAAUGUGCUAGAGCGAGCCCUUAUAAUAUCUCGAUGCAAAUAGAGUUCGUGAUCAUUUUUUAUAGUUAACUGUAUGUAACUCAAGUUUUUUCCUCUACUGUUCUCACUUGUGGUGCUAGGUGCCAUCGCAGGGAGGUUUCUUAUUUGAUUUUCAUCAUUAUAAUCUCAUAGUCUUAUCCUUAAUUUACAGCGAGGGUGACCAUGAAUUACACUAUAGAGAAAAAGGGGUUCUAAUAGAUGUGGAUUUUGGUAUUCCUGCAUCUUCCAAUGAUGUUGAUGUUUCCACCGUGUCAAUGACGACGAGUACUUUCCAGUUACUGAAUAAGAAUCUUAUAGACAAGAGAUGAAGAUUCCCCAUGUACAAGUUCUGUCGACUAUUGUCACUCAGAAGAAUAUGCAAGCAUGGAUGUUCAUUCAAAUGAUGAAGAAGAAAAAGAAGAUGAAUAUCAUGAAGAAGAAGAGAAUCAAGUAGAAGUAUCACUGAUUCAACUGUAAUAGAAAGCAAAGAAAUAUAUUUGAUAUGAAUAUAACAAGCAAUUGAGGUGCUCACUGCUCAUAUAUGAAACUUUGCAGGCACAAGCUUUAUCUAUUCUAAACUUUGCAGGCACAAAAUUUAUCCAUUCUAAAGUUUAAUGAAAUUCAAAACUUCUUUAUACA
This is a long non-coding RNA of Papaver somniferum (opium poppy), 3610 nucleotides long. RefSeq lists it as uncharacterized. The transcript is spliced from 6 exons. Lineage: Eukaryota; Viridiplantae; Streptophyta; Magnoliopsida; Ranunculales; Papaveraceae. The record is from RefSeq and is a predicted model, not a curated record.